RNAcentral lists this ribosomal RNA (1391 nucleotides) under uncultured prokaryote. Its description in RNAcentral is "partial 16S ribosomal RNA". It matches the Rfam family "Bacterial small subunit ribosomal RNA". The record is from RNAcentral.
AGAGUUUGAUCCUGGCUCAGGAUGAACGCUAGCGACAGGCCUAACACAUGCAAGUCGAACGGUAACAUAGAUUGCUUGCAAUUUGCUGACGACCGGCGAACGGGUGCGUAACACGUAUGCAACUUACCUUUAACUGGAAGAUAGCCCCGAGAAAUCGGGAUUAAUACUCCAUAACAUUUCAUUUUGGCAUCACUAUGAAAUUAAAGCUCCGGCGGUUAAAGAUAGGCAUGCUUCUGAUUAGUUUGUUGGUGAGGUAACGGCUCACCAAGACUACGAUGUCUAGGGGGCCUGAGAGGGCUAUCCCCCACACUGGUACUGAGACACGGACCAGACUCCUACGGGAGGCAGCAGUGAGGAAUAUUGGUCAAUGGACGAAAGUCUGAACCAGCCAUGCCGCGUGCAGGAAGAAAGCCCUACGGGUUGUAAACUGCUUUUAUUUGGGAAGAAACCCCCUUACGUGUAAGGGGCUGACGGUACCAUUUGAAUAAGGACCGGCUAACUCCGUGCCAGCAGCCGCGGUAAUACGGAGGGUGCAAGCGUUAUCCGGAUUUAUUGGGUUUAAAGGGUGCGUAGGCGGGAUAUUAAGUCAGUGGUGAAAUCCUACAGCUUAACUGUAGAAUUGCCAUUGAUACUGUAGUCCUUGAGUAUGGAUGAAGUGGGCGGAAUGUGGCAUGUAGCGGUGAAAUGCAUAGAUAUGCCACAGAACACCGAUUGCGAAGGCAGCUCACUAAACCAUUACUGACGCUGAGGCACGAAAGCGUGGGGAGCGAACAGGAUUAGAUACCCUGGUAGUCCACGCUGUAAACGAUGAUCACUCGAUGCUGGCGAUACACUGUCAGUGUCCAAGCGAAAGCGUUAAGUGAUCCACCUGGGGAGUACGUUCGCAAGAAUGAAACUCAAAGGAAUUGACGGGGGCCCGCACAAGCGGUGGAGCAUGUGGUUUAAUUCGAUGAUACGCGAGGAACCUUACCAGGGCUUAAAUGUAGAAUGACCGUCGUGGAAACAUCCUUUUUCUUCGGACAAUCUACAAGGUGCUGCAUGGUUGUCGUCAGCUCGUGCUGUGAAGUGUCGGGUUAAGUCCAAUAACGAGCGCAACCCCUAUCUUCAGUUGCCAGCGGGUAAUGCCGGGGACUCUGGAGAAACUGCCAGCGUAAGCUGCGAGGAAGGUGGGGAUGACGUCAAAUCAUCACGGCCCUUACGUCCUGGGCCACACACGUGCUACAAUGGUCGGUACAGAGGGCAGCUACCCCGCGAGGGGAUGCGAAUCUCGAAAGCCGGUCUCAGUUCGGAUCGAAGUCUGCAACUCGACUUCGUGAAGCUGGAAUCGCUAGUAAUCGCGCAUCAGCCAUGGCGCGGUGAAUACGUUCCCGGGCCUUGUACACACCGCCCGU